RNAcentral lists this unclassified non-coding RNA (329 nucleotides) under soil metagenome. RNAcentral's name for it is "partial contains 5.8S ribosomal RNA, internal transcribed spacer 2, and large subunit ribosomal RNA". The stretch from base 1 to 120 matches the Rfam family "5.8S ribosomal RNA", at positions 35 to 154 of the family's 154-position model. The record is from RNAcentral.
GAUGAAGAACGUAGCGAAAUGCGAUAAGUAAUGUGAAUUGCAGAAUUCAGUGAAUCAUCGAAUCUUUGAACGCACAUUGCGCCCCUUGGUAUUCCGAGGGGCAUGCCUGUUCGAGCGUCAUUAUAACCCCUCAAGCUCAGCUUGGUGUUGGGGCCUGCUGCACUGGCAGCCCUUAAAAUCAGUGGCGGCGCCAUCUGGCUCUAAGCGUAGUAAUUCUUCUCGCUAUGGAGUCCUGGUGGAUGCUUGCCAUCAACCCCCAAUUUUUCUAUGGUUGACCACGGAUCAGGUAGGGAUACCCGCUGAACUUAAGCAUAUCAAUAAGCGGAGGA